AUCAGAUCCAUGUAAUUUGAUGUUUUUAUGCAACAAAACUGAUAACUGACAAUCUGUGACAUAAGUUGAAGAAUUGUCAUCAUUAUCAAUGUAAAUUGUUUAGGUCUUAGUUCUUCCAUAAAUUUGCCUGCAGAAAUAUGUAUCGCAAUAGUUGCUGAAAACUUGAGCUGUGAAAGAGUAUCACUAUUUGAUGAAACUUAGCAGUCUAAUAUAAGCCUUGAGAUGUCUUUGGAUUAUUCUUCAGUCAAUGUGAGUUUUCUUACAAAUUAUAAUUUAUAUACAAGUUAAUUAUGUCAAACGAAUAUUAUUUUUAUAUAUGUAUGGCCAUUAUUAUAUCAAUUUUUGUUAUCUAGUUACCAAGUCGAUCCAGAACAAUUAACUCCACUGUCAAAAACUAGCUGUGAAAAUUUUACAAUUCAAGUAAUUUUAAUAUCCAUAAGUAAUAUCAGGUGUAUUUUAUUUAUUCGUAAUUAAAAUUUGUGUACUGUCUCUGAUGAGAAUAAAUCAAAACGACUGCUAUUGAAGUGCGGUGUUAUUUGGUGUAAAUAAAAUAUUGUUGUUAUUAUCUUAUUAUUGAUGAUGCCUUUGAUAUACUAUUGGAUUGGUUUACUUUGUUAGGUAUCUACUACCAUAGAAUAGUUGUCACUGUAUGCUUACUAUCUAUAUCCAGGGACGGACACAAAUACAAAAUGUGUAGGUAUUUUAUUAUAACUCUGAUUUAAUAUUAUCAUAAUAAUUGUAACAUUUUUAGAAAGUGGUUGUCUAUUUAAAGUAAAAUCUAAAAACAUUGCUAUUUAUCUAGGUACUAUAUAGGUAUUAAAUUAUUGUAUUAUAAAAUGACAUAUAUAUUGACAAAGCAUCACUCUGCUCAGAACCUUUUUUUAAAAAAUAGUUUAUUGUUGCUUACAGGUAUACAUUAAAUUAUCUAUAACAUUGUCUGCACCUGUCCCCAUUACCCUAGGAAGUCUUUUUAAAGUCAAAUUUAUCUCAACAUUUAUCCUUGAAUUAAAAUUGUAGUAUAUUAUUAUAAUAUUAUAUAUAUGAUAUUAAGAAUUUCAUUUAGUGAAAAAUUGAACUACUGAUAACAGCAAUGGAAAGUUAAUAAAUCGCUGGUUAACAUCUAUAAUAAAUAAUAAUGUGGCUAUCAAUUUAAAUGUUGAGGAAAAAGAAUUUAUACAUUACAAAAGGUCAAUUUAACUAAAUGUCUUAUUUAUUUUUCUGUGUGUUCUAAAAUUGUAU
Cinara cedri is the source of this 1239-nucleotide non-coding RNA. NCBI's taxonomy places the organism in Eukaryota, Metazoa, Arthropoda, Insecta, Hemiptera, Aphididae. The record is from the annotation of a GenBank genome assembly.